GGAAGUAGAACCGAGGCUUGCUUGGAUCAGGGAGCCCCUGAGAUGGAACCUGUCAUUUCUCUGCUCCGUGGAAGGCUAGUCCCCCAUCUCUGGAUCCUUGGGGGUUCACUCCAACAUCGUUGCAAAUGGAAGAAGAGGCAGGGGGCUCACAUCUUCACUGUCUAUCCCAGUGCCUCCUAAUCCAUUGAUGUCCCCAGUAAACAACGAAGCCGCCACUCUCAGCUCCCUCUCUGACAUCAGUCAGCUUCCCUGAGGAAAAGAUGUAUUAUUGAAUAAGUGAUGUGGGGACAACUGGGUAGCCAUGUGGGAAAAUGAAAAGCUAAAACCACAAUCUCACUUUAACUCAAAAUAAAUUCCAGAUGGGAAAGAGUUUCAAACAGAAAACAUAAAAUAAAAUUAUAAGAAACUA
This is a long non-coding RNA of Eptesicus fuscus (big brown bat), 409 nucleotides long. RefSeq lists it as uncharacterized. The record is from RefSeq and is a predicted model, not a curated record. Lineage: Eukaryota; Metazoa; Chordata; Mammalia; Chiroptera; Vespertilionidae. The transcript is spliced from 2 exons.